Poecilia reticulata (guppy) is the source of this 262-nucleotide non-coding RNA. Lineage: Eukaryota; Metazoa; Chordata; Actinopteri; Cyprinodontiformes; Poeciliidae. The record is from RefSeq and is a predicted model, not a curated record.
AGAGGCCCUCAGAGGUAGAGACUUAACGAGCGGAUGGAUUAUUCAUUCACAUAAUUCAUUUAUCUAUUGAUCAAACAAUAAAAGACGAGGAUUCAUGGAGUUUAGACCUGAAAGUGAAGCGGGGAAAGCAGGUUGAUGGAUGGUAUUUCUGCUCUCUGGGAGCAUAACUGCCCUGAAUAUUAGUCCCAUGUCCCGAGGAAAAGGGGGGAAAGGAGGUCAGGCAGAUUAGACAGAGCAGCGCAGCGGGGUGAGCGAAGCGGCG